RNAcentral lists this ribosomal RNA (275 nucleotides) under uncultured bacterium. RNAcentral describes it as "partial 16S ribosomal RNA". It matches the Rfam family "Bacterial small subunit ribosomal RNA", at positions 399 to 691 of the family's 1533-position model. The record is from RNAcentral.
GCGUGAGUGAAGAAGGCCCUAGGGUUGUAAAGCUCUUUCAGCGGGGAAGAUAAUGACGGUACCCGCAGAAGAAGCCCCGGCUAACUCCGUGCCAGCAGCCGCGGUAAUACGGAGGGGGCUAGCGUUGUUCGGAAUUACUGGGCGUAAAGCGCGCGUAGGCGGCGGUCCAAGUCAGGCGUGAAAGCCCGGGGCUCAACCCCGGAAUUGCGCUUGAUACUGUUCCGCUCGAGUCCGGGAGAGGGUAGUGGAAUUCCCAGUGUAGAGGUGAAAUUCGU